UUCCGGUUGAUCCUGCCGGACCUGACUGCUAUCGGAUUGAUACUAAGCCAUGCGAGUCAUUGUAGCAAUACAAGGCAGACGGCUCAGUAACGCGUAGUCAACCUACCCUAUGGACGGGGAUAACCUCGGGAAACUGAGAAUAAUACCCGAUAGAACAUUAUACCUGGAAUGGUUUAUGUUUCAAAUAAUUUAUUGCCGUAGGAUGGGACUGCGGCCUAUCAGUUUGUUGGUGAGGUAAUGGCCCACCAAGACUAUUACAGGUACGGGCUCUGAGAGGAGUAGCCCGGAGAUGGGUACUGAGACACGGACCCAGGCCCUAUGGGGCGCAGCAGGCGAGAAAACUUUGCAAUGUGCGAAAGCACGACAAGGUUAAUCCGAGUGGUUUCUGCUAAAGGAACCUUUUGACAGUCAUAGAACCACUGUUGAAUAAGGGGUGGGCAAGUUCUGGUGUCGGCCGCCGCGGUAAAACCAGCUCUUCAAGUGGUCGGGAUAAUUAUUGGGCUUAAAGUGUCCGUAGCCGGUAUAGUAAGUUCCUGGUAAAAUCAGGUAGCUUAACUAUCUGUACGCUAGGAAUACUGCUAUACUAGAGGGCGGGAAAAGUCUGAGGUACUACGGGGGUAGGGGUGAAAUCUUAUAAUCCUUGUAGGACCACCAGUGGCGAAAGGCGUCAGACUGGAACGCGCCUGACGGUGAGGGACGAAAGCCAGGGUAGCGAACCGGAUUAGAUACCCGGGUAGUCCUGGACGUAAACGAUGCACACUAGGUGAUGGUGCGGUCAUGAGCCGUAUCAGUGCCGUAGGGAAACCGUUUAGUGUGCCGCCUGGGAAGUACGGUCGCAAGGCUAAAACUUAAAGGAAUUGGCGGGGGAGCACCACAGGGGUGAAGCCUGCCGGUUCAAUUGGACUCACGCCGGU
Molecule: ribosomal RNA, 914 nt
Filed under: uncultured archaeon
Lineage: Archaea
Description: partial 16S ribosomal RNA
Rfam family: Archaeal small subunit ribosomal RNA
Source: RNAcentral